CCCUUAGAUGUCCGGGGCUGCACGCGCGCUAAACUGUAGAAAGCAGAGUGCUUUAAAACCUUUCCUGAAAAGGAUGGGUAACCCCAGCAAAAUUCUACGUGCUUGGGAUAGAGAUUUGCAAUUUUCUCUCUUGAACGAGGAAUUCCCAGUAAGUGCGAGUCAUCAGCUCGCGUUGAUUACGUCCCUGCCCUUUGUACACACCGCCCGUCGCUACUACCGAUUGGGAAAAUUUUAGAGAGUCCUGGACUGAUGAUUGUUCGGCUUCACGGCCUUACUUUCGUCGGGAAAGAAUUCGAUAAUAUUUUUCUAGAGGAAGUAAAAGUCGUAACA
This 330-nucleotide ribosomal RNA is filed under the name uncultured eukaryote. RNAcentral describes it as "partial 18S ribosomal RNA". It matches the Rfam family "Eukaryotic small subunit ribosomal RNA", at positions 1470 to 1796 of the family's 1831-position model. The record is from RNAcentral.